UUUGUUUAUAUAUUGAUAAUGACAGUAUAUAUAUCGUGUCUUGACUAAUUGCGUGCCAGCAGUCGCGGUAAUACGUAAGAGACUAGUGUUAUUCAUCUUAAUUAGGUUUAAAGGGUACCCAGACGGUCAAUAUAGCUUAUAAAAUGUUAGUACUUGACUAGAGUUUUAUGUAAGAGGGCAGUACUUGAGGAGGAGAGAUGAAAUUUCGUGAUACCAAAGGGACUCUGUAAAGGCGAAGGCAGCCCUCUAUGUAAAAACUGACGUUGAAGGACGAAGGCACAGAGAACAAACAGGAUUAGAUACCCAAGUAGUCUUUGCAGUAAAUGAUGAAUGCCAUAGGUUAGAUUGAUCAAUUAUAGUCUAGGGUUAGUCUAGCAAACUAAUGCCCUAUGAUAUAAUUCAAAAUAUCUGGUCUAUAAAUGAAAGUGUAAGCAUUUCACCUCAAGAGUAAUGUGGCAACGCAGGAACUGAAAUCACUAGACCGUUUCUGACACCAG
This 497-nucleotide ribosomal RNA is filed under the name Fusarium oxysporum. Its description in RNAcentral is "SSU rRNA". It matches the Rfam family "Bacterial small subunit ribosomal RNA", at positions 450 to 929 of the family's 1533-position model. Lineage: Eukaryota; Fungi; Ascomycota; Sordariomycetes; Hypocreales; Nectriaceae. The record is from RNAcentral.